RNAcentral lists this ribosomal RNA (288 nucleotides) under Salmonella enterica subsp. enterica. RNAcentral's name for it is "partial 23S ribosomal RNA". It matches the Rfam family "Bacterial large subunit ribosomal RNA", at positions 2569 to 2853 of the family's 2925-position model. The record is from RNAcentral. Lineage: Bacteria; Pseudomonadati; Pseudomonadota; Gammaproteobacteria; Enterobacterales; Enterobacteriaceae.
GGGUAUGGCUGUUCGCCAUUUAAAGUGGUACGCGAGCUGGGUUCAGAACGUCGUGAGACAGUUCGGUCCCUAUCUGCCAUGGGCGUUGGAGAUUUGAGAGGGGCUGCUCCUAGUACGAGAGGACCGGAGUGGACGAACCUCUGGUGUUCCGGUUGUCACGCCAGUGGCAUUGCCGGGUAGCUAUGUUCGGAAGCGAUAACCGCUGAAAGCAUCUAAGCGGGAAGCGCGCCUCAAGAUGAGAUCUCCCGGGGCACAAGCCCCCUGAAGGAACCAUGUAGACUACGUGGU